This 313-nucleotide ribosomal RNA is filed under the name uncultured eukaryote. RNAcentral's name for it is "partial large subunit ribosomal RNA". It matches the Rfam family "Eukaryotic large subunit ribosomal RNA", at positions 40 to 350 of the family's 3401-position model. The record is from RNAcentral.
GUAUCACUAAGCGGAGGAAAAGAAACUAAAUAGGAUUCCCCUAGUAACGGCGAGUGAAAAGGGAAGAGCCCAACCUGAUAAUCCAUUACCUCGUGUGGUGGAAUUGUGGGUUAUGGAAGCAGCGUCAGUGUAGAGCCUGGUCUAAGUGUGUUGGAAUGCACUGGCAGAGAGGGUGAGACCCCCGUUCUGGGCUGGGAUUUCUGCAUGUACGACCUGUUUUCCUAGAGUAGGUUUGCUUGAGAGUGCAGACUGAAGUGGGAGGUAAAUUCCUUCCAAGGCUAAAUAUUUGUGAGAGACCGAUAGCGCACAAGUA